GUUGGAAACAGGUUAAUAUUCCUGUACUUCUGGUUACUGCGAUGGAGGGACGGAGAAGGCUAGGCCAGCUUGGCGUUGGUUGUCCAAGUUUAAGGUGGUAGGCUGAAAUCUUAGGUAAAUCCGGGGUUUCAAGGCCGAGAGCUGAUGACGAGUCGUCUUUUAGAUGACGAAGUGGUUGAUGCCAUGCUUCCAAGAAAAGCUUCUAAGCUUCAGGUAACCAGGAACCGUACCCCAAACCGACACAGGUGGUCGGGUAGAGAAUACCAAGGCGCUUGUGAGAACUCGGGUGAAGGAACUAGGCAAAAUGGCACCGUAACUUCGGGAGAAGGUGCGCCGGCUAGGGUGAAGGAUUUACUCCGUGAGCUCUGGCUGGUCGAAGAUACCAGGCCGCUGCGACUGUUUAUUAAAAACACAGCACUCUGCAAACACGAAAGUGGACGUAUAGGGUGUGACGCCUCCCCGGUGCCGGAAGGUUAAUUGAUGGGGUUAGCGCAAGCGAAGCUCUUGAUCGAAGCCCCGGUAAACGGCGGCCGUAACAAUAACGGUCCUAAGGUAGCGAAAUUCCUUGUCGGGUAAGUUCCGACCUGCACGAAUGGCGUAACGAUGGCGGCGCUGUCUCCACCCGAGACUCAGUGAAAUUGAAAUCGCUGUGAAGAUGCAGUGUAUCCGCGGCUAGACGGAAAGACCCCGUGAACCUUUACUGUAGCUUUGCACUGGACUUUGAGCCUGCUUGUGUAGGAUAGGUGGGAGGCUUUGAAGCGUGGACGCCAGUUCGCGUGGAGCCAUCCUUGAAAUACCACCCUGGCAUGCUUGAGGUUCUAACUCUGGUCCGUAAUCCGGAUCGAGGACAGUGUAUGGUGGGCAGUUUGACUGGGGCGGUCUCCUCCUAAAGAGUAACGGAGGAGUACGAAGGUGCGCUCAGACCGGUCGGAAAUCGGUCGCAGAGUAUAAAGGCAAAAGCGCGCUUGACUGCGAGACAGACACGUCGAGCAGGUACGAAAGUAGGUCUUAGUGAUCCGGUGGUUCUGUAUGGAAGAGCCAUCGCUCAACGGAUAAAAGGCACUCCGGGGAUAACAGGCUGAUACCGCCCAAGAGUUCAUAUCGACGGCGGUGUUUGGCACCUCGAUGUCGGCUCAUCACAUCCUGGGGCUGAAGCCGGUCCCAAGGGUAUGGCUGUUCGCCAUUUAAAGUGGUACGCGAGCUGGGUUUAGAACGUCGUGAGACAGUUCGGUCCCUAUCUGCCGUGGACGUUUGAGAUUUGAGAGGGGCUGCUCCUAGUACGAGAGGACCGGAGUGGACGAACCUCUGGUGUUCCGGUUGUCACGCCAGUGGCAUUGCCGGGUAGCUAUGUUCGGAAAAGAUAACCGCUGAAAGCAUCUAAGCGGGAAACUUGCCUCAAGAUGAGAUCUCACUGGGAACUUGAUUCCCCUGAAGGGCCGUCGAAGACUACGACGUUGAUAGGCUGGGUGUGUAAGCGUUGUGAGGCGUUGAGCUAACCAGUACUAAU
This 1507-nucleotide ribosomal RNA is filed under the name metagenome. Its description in RNAcentral is "bacterial LSU rRNA". It matches the Rfam family "Bacterial large subunit ribosomal RNA", at positions 1418 to 2905 of the family's 2925-position model. The record is from RNAcentral.